RNAcentral lists this long non-coding RNA (714 nucleotides) under Sinocyclocheilus anshuiensis. Its description in RNAcentral is "lncRNA (ENSSANG00000031991.1)". The record is from RNAcentral. Lineage: Eukaryota; Metazoa; Chordata; Actinopteri; Cypriniformes; Cyprinidae.
UGUUCUUUUACUGAACUAAAUGAUUUUUAUUAGGCUACUACAAUAAAUCAAAACGACGGUGGGGGUCGGUGCCGCGGUGGGCAAGUGAUGUAACCGGUGUUGCGGCUUAACACCGGUAUCACCGUCAACACCGUCUAUCGCGGCAAGCCUUGUGUAUAAGUCUACUUUUGCUUAUAUUUCUUAUGGCUGAGAAAAUACUCUGCUCCAACAAGUUGAUCAGGUGAUCCCUCAGAAUGUGCAUACACACUCCCCCUCACACACCUAGUGCAUCACACCAAUGUUCAUAGGGAGUUUUGGCAUUCAGAGCACUCUGCCAUUCCCUUGAUCUCAGACACACACACUUUGGUAAGGUUCCAAAGUUUACUUCAGUUUGUGCAGUGGUGGAUAGGAGGACAGAGUUCAACUCUUUCCUUUCCCACCCUCUCUCAUUUUUCUUCCUUCGGUCCGUCUCUGUCCACUCCAAAGUCACAGUUAACUUAUACACUGCCUGUGGAUCUUCAUCUAAGUUUCAUUUUUCUGUAGGUGAGAGAACAAUGAGAAAGCAUUUGCAGUUAAUUUGGUUUAUCAUGCAUCGUGGAGUAUGUGCAUCAAGGCAGAGGUCGGUGGUACUAAGUGAAGGGCUGUGUAAAAGAGGGUUGUAGAGACGAACCCGCUGUGGUGAGUUAAACUUUCAUGAUAUUAAGUUUGAUAACUGAAAUUAUAUGUUGGAACAUA